Molecule: transfer RNA, 67 nt
Filed under: Parcoblatta bolliana
Lineage: Eukaryota; Metazoa; Arthropoda; Insecta; Blattodea; Blattellidae
Description: tRNA-Cys
Source: RNAcentral
AGCCUUAUAUUCAUAAAAUGAUUAUAGAAUGCAAUUCUGUAGGAGUAGUUUAUUGCUACUAAGGCUU